CCUACGGGAGGCAGCAGUGAGGAAUAUUGGUCAAUGGGCGAGAGCCUGAACCAGCCAAGUCGCGUGAGGGAAGACGGUCCUACGGAAUGUAAACCUCUUUUGUCAGGGAGCACGGAGCGCCACGAGUGGUGCGGCGAGAGUAACUGCAGAAAAAGCAUCGGCUAACACCGUGCAGGCAGCCGCGGGAAUACGGAGGACGCGAGCUUUAUCCGGAUUUAUUGGUGUUAAAGGGUUCGCAGGCGGAAGCGGCAAGUCAGCGGUAAAAUUGCGGGGCUCAACCUCGCCGAGCCGUUGAAACUGCUCUUCUAGAGUGGGCGAGAAGUAUGCGGAAUGCGUGGUGUAGCGGUGAAAUGCAUAGAUAUCACGCAGAACUCCGAUUGCGAAGGCAGCAUACCGGCGCCCAACUGACGCUCAUGCACGAAAGCGUGGGUAUCGAACAGGAUUAGAUACCCUGGUAGUC
This 460-nucleotide ribosomal RNA is filed under the name uncultured bacterium. RNAcentral describes it as "partial 16S ribosomal RNA". It matches the Rfam family "Bacterial small subunit ribosomal RNA", at positions 338 to 795 of the family's 1533-position model. The record is from RNAcentral.